GGAUCUGCGAUUGGACAUGGAAAAUAGAAAUACUUUUUCUUGGGUAAAGGAACAGAUAACUCGAUCGAUUUCUGUAUCGAUCAUGAUAUACGUAAUAACUCGGACAUCUAUUUCAAAAAAAUGUAUAAUAAUUAGUAAGUCUUGAUAUUCUUUCAUGGAGUCCCUUCUUGAAUCUUAGAUUGAAAAAAAAAGAAUGCCCCUUAGGGACCUUUCUUUGGAUACCAAGAUUUCUGAAGGCAUGGGAGUGGAGAGGCAGAAGUGAAAGACUGGCUACCAAUAAAGAUCCAAAACUGCACAUACCAUUAACUUUUUGUGUGCUAGCAAUAUCUCUACGUGUGAUUCGUUAAAAUGGAUCUUUUUCCUAUAAAAUCCAUUAACUAUUAUUUCUUUCUACGCUGUCCUUAAUAGCGGGUUGGUUACAUCUACAACCCAAAUGGAAACCAAUAAGCACAAAAUCAUCCAUUCUGGUUCUACAUUUGUUUGUAUAAAAUGUUUCGCCAAUUGCAUGCGUCUAAUCAAAAAAACUUUUCUUAUUCGUCUUUUUCUAUCUCCCCAUUCUUGCAAUUGCUCAGGAUACCCUCUUUUAGCUGCUAGGUCUAUUUCUUAGUUCAAGAUCCCUCUUACUAACUGGAAUAAAAGAAUUAGUAGAUCUGAAAAGGGAAUCGAUCGUGAUUUGGAACCUGUUCUUUACAUGAACCCUCUUAACUAAGAUUUUCUUAUUUAUACCUGUUCUACUUUUUUUCUGUUCUGGCUCGGUUAUUCCAUCUAGCCGAGCCAUUCAUUCCUUUUUAUGAAAGAAAGAUAAGGGACAGAAAAAAAUGUAUUUUCCCAUCAACUAGCUAAAAUUGAUUAACCCUAGGAUUAGGAUCCUUUUUUCUUUUUUCCUCUAUGUGUAUUUUACUUUAGCGCAAGGGCGCUCGAUUAGUGAGCUAUUACGCACUCUUUAAAGGGUGGCUGCUUCUAGGCAAACCUCCUGGCUUUCUUUGCACCCCCACGGCCUUUAUCACUGAGCGGUCAUUUAGGGGCCUUAGCUGGUGAUCCGGGAUCGAUAAACCUUUUGGAUUUUAUUAACCAAAGAGAUACGACUUUGGGCUAUGGUUAGCUCAGCUCCAAUCAAGAAUAUUCUUACUAUUAUUGUAUUAUCUUAUUUAUAGUGAAACAAGUUGAGAAGAGGUUGUUAAUAAGAGAUUGCCCAGGGAAAUAGGUAAAAGAAAUUUCCAUCUUUGAUUCUCUAUAAACCAAGAAUAAAGGGAAAUCACUGAUUCAUUUGGAGCUGUUUUCUACCUGACUCAUUGACAUGAGAGAUUAGAUGCGAUGCGCCAGUCACUCGACCGUCAAUCCUUUCUUGUGACGAGCCAUGACUGGGUGCUCUGAAACCUCCUUAAAAGGAGGGGCGGUGGGGUAAGGUAAUUGUUGGGCAGUACACAGGAGGAAAUUGACAGGUCUAUAAAUUCUAUUAAAGGAAUGAGAAAGCUAAUGAAUCUUAAACCCAUUGAUAAAAAGAAAAAAAAGGGUACCAACGAUCUGGAAUCCCGUGCUGAAACCUACAGAUAUGCACCUAUGCGGACCAUCCUGGCAAUCCUCCUGUCUAUUCUUUCUAAUAACCAACGAAUGGCAAGUGCUCUUCCUUGUUUAGAUCCUAUUUCAAUCGGAACUUUCCGCGUCGAUCCUUUUUAUUUUAUCUUGUUUCUUACCUAAAUUUAUUAGUUUCUUCUUUAUUUGUAACAGUUCUCUACUUGGGCGGGUGGAAUUUAUCUAUUCCCUAUAUAUCCUUUUUUGUCUGAAAUCUUUAAGCAACUAAAAAAGACGUAUACUAAAAGAUAUGUGUUGAAAAGGGAUGGUCAAUAACAAGAUGAACCCAAUGCCCAAUCUUCCUCGGGUUCCACGGGGUAAAUCCAUUAAAAAGGACAAAUUUUAGCAGAAGGAGCUGCUACAGUUGGGGGCGAACUUGCUUUAGGAAAAAACGCCCUAAAUAAACGCGGACACUUAAAAAAUCUGUCGGGCAGGCAGAUUCACAUCUCUUACAACCCACACAAUCUUCGGUUCUCGGCGCGGAAGCAAUUUGCUUGGCUUUACAUCCAUCCCAGGGUAUCAUUCCCUUUUAUGAUUGGAGAACCUGGCUUUGAUGACAUUCCUGAGGGAUCCGCAAAACCCCUCGCCAUUACCGUAUGAGCAGGUUUGAAAGCCUGCAAGUUAAGUUGUUGGCUGCUCUUAGCGAUUGACGGACGAAGCCGAGCCGAUAUGAUAGGCGGGCGAAGUGAGCGAGACCAAGACGGGCCAGACGUGGCUAAUUUUUUAAUUAAAUAAAAAAUCCCUUUUAACUUAGUGGUAGAGUAAUGCCAUGGUAAGGCAUAAGUCAUCGGUUCAAAUCUGAUAAAGGGCUUUCUAAUUGAUUGGAUAUCCCGCAUAAGGAAUCGAAGGAAGAUGCGACGUUUUAUUCCAGGGAAUCCCCAACAAAAAAUGCACAUUUGUAUCUGGAUUUUUUGAUUUCCUAAAAGAGUUUUGGUCUAACAGUUUUUUCUCGGAAGAAGAAAAAUAAACAAAAGAAUGAAUAAAAUAUGAAAGAAAAGCGUCCAUUGUCUAAUGAGUUCAUAACCCUAGCGCCCAUUCCCAUUUUGGGCGGAACAGAUCUACUAAUUCUUUUAUUCCAGUUAGAGCCGAAAUAGGAGUGGGUCCUUCCAUAGCAUCGGGUAACCAUACAUGAAGAGGGAAUUGUGCGGAUUUCGCAACUGCACCAAGGAAUAAUAAAAAAGCACACAAAGUAGUAAGUAAAAACCUUCAUGAAAUGAAGGUUUUAUUUUAUGUAAUCAUUUAGGUGUUAGUGUAAACGAACCAUAAUUACUAGCCAAUAUUUAUCUCAUGCCUUUCCUCGUUCAUGGUUCGAUAUUCUGGUGUCCUAGGCAUAGAGGAACCACACCAAUCCAUCCUGAACUUACAGCAGCUUGCCAAACAAAGGCUAAUAGAAAAAAGAAUAGAGGUAUAACAUGCUUUAUUCUUAAGUGGGGGAAUCCCCUGAAAGCCGGUGUUCGAGUGAGUUUUUUCCAGGAAGCUAGUUCUUUAGGGCUUAACCCCUUUUGUUAUUCUACCUGCACUCUUCCGUAAACUAAAACGUGCAUUAUCAAUAGGAUCAAUUCUAACAAGUCACACACUCAUAUUCCAGAGAUACCGAAACAAAAAAAUUCCGCGGUCGAACUACCAUAAUAUCUAGAAAUGUAGAUCUUAAACUAGAAAGGCUUUUUUGGAUGGAAAAACUCUGACUUCCUAGUUUUAGUUAGUAGAAACCUAAUUGGUUAAAAUUCCAUCCAGUAAAACGGAAGAAUUAUAAAUUUCUAAAAUACAUAGCUUUCUUUAGUCUUUCCGGUAUAGCGUCGCGUCGGUCGAUAUCGCAGAGUCUAAUUUCCUAACUCGGAUUUGAACUCAGUGGGUAAUUUCUAACAAAGUUUUUCUCUUGUUGAUUCCUAAUUCUAGGUGUAGUGCUUUUCUCCCCUAUGCUGCCUACGGAUACUAAAGAUCACCGCUUUUCAUACGCUAAUUCGUGAUUCAAAGUAGAGCGAGUGAGGGAGCUAUACCCGGGACUCAAUCAACAUAUGCCAGAAAUAGGAAAUUGGAAUGAAAUCCAGUCUUAGUCAAAUACUUCAUAUCUCUUUGUGUCCAAGCAGAAGGAAAAGGAUACAAUUUGAGCCCAAUCCCUUUGGUCAUUUCGCUUUUCGUGCCGGCCUGUAUUCAGAGUUUCUUGGAUUUGCGGUGCCUGAAUGCCUUUCUCCUUCUUUUUGGUGACGCUUCGCUUGCAUGCAAGGCGGCUAAUAAAAGCGCCAGGUAGACGCGCGGAGAUGCAUUUUGAGUACUGGUGGUACUGGACAAGCUCUAGGGGAAUAAUCUCUUUCUUAUUUCUUUCUUAUUCCUUUCAUUUGUUGCUUUGUCUUCGGUUUGUUUUUAAACUCGACCUUCUAUCGGGACUGUGGUGACGAACCUUACUCCCCUCGGUCAAGUGGUUGACCCGUCUGUCCAAUAAGUUUACUAAGUGAAUGGGAAUCCUAUAGUUUGACCAGCCUGGAUCUCUAUUCUCCAUAAGGAUAGGGUUUAUUUGAUUGGCAUUCACGCCUUUUAGAAAGAGCCACUCAAUGCAAUUCACUUUUAGGCGAAGAGAGUAGCAGGGACUAUGGUAUCGAAUUUUUUCAUUCGAGUAUCUAUUAGAAAUGAAUUCUCCAGCAUUUGAUUCCUUACUAACAAAGAACUUUUUGGUACACUUGAAAGGUACCCCAUAGCAUGACUAAUUGAUAAAAUGUGGAGGAAAGUAGGGGAAAUGGCCGAUACUACUGGAAGAAUUCCUCUUUGGCUGAUAGGAGCGUAAAUAAUUGUAACCAUAUACAUAUAAAAUGACAGCAAUGGAAUCCCAAUCCCCUGCUUUUAUUUGUAAAGUCUCUAUUCCUCGGUGAUCAAAGCCCAAUGUCUCGGGGACUCAUUCUGACUUAAACAAGGGGUGGGUCUUUACCAACUUCCUAAAUCUAUAAAAAUAUAAAACUUCUCGGCUUUUACCCAUUUUAAUUUUUUUUGGAAUAAACUGUUGUCAACUAAUCUUUUCAAUGUUCAAUUCUACUCUAUGUUAGAACACGAGAAAGUGGAAAUCCUUUUGAAGGAAGCUAUUCAGGAACAGCUGGAACGGUUUUCUCUUCAGUAACAAAUAAAUUUUGCAUGCAGGCGAGUUGCAGCCUGCAAUCCGAACUGAGGACGGGUUUUUGGAGUUAGCUCACCCUCGCGAGAUCGCGACCCUUUGUCCCGCCCAUUGUAGCCUCUAUUGAGAAUCUAGUUUCUUGAUCGAAGUAAAGAAGAAUUUUAGUUCCUCUUUAGGCGAGCUACUUCGUUCCUAUUCUCCGAAUCUGAAUAGGAGAAGGUUGUAAUGAACCCAAAAUACAUCGCUAAGGUUCAACCGUUUCGCUACGGUUUUCUUCCAAUUUCAUCCAAGAUUUAAUAACUGAUCCAUUCUCAUCCUCGGUAAAGUCCAUAUUAUUGUGAUAGAAAUGAAGAGAAAUAAAUAAGCUUUAGUUAAUGUAAUAAAUAUACCCAUUGCUCUUUGAUGAAAAGAUGAAAAAACCAAAAAAAAGCUCUGCCCUUCCAUCUCUUCGAUAGAUAGAGAGGGAGGGCAGAGGCCUUGAACAAAAAGAUCACAGUAAACUUUUGGUAAAAGUUCUAUCUUGGUCGGAGUGGGGAUAUCAUUUCUCUUCUGCAUGUCUAUGGAGUUUUGCAAAACCCAAACACCUCCCAUGCAAAACCGUGCAUGAGACUUUCAUCUCGCACGACUCCUAAGUGAUAAAAGAAAGAAGAACUCGUCUUCUCUCUUUUUUGAUUACCUUCCUCGAUCAUGAUUUGGAACCUGUUCUUUACAUGAACCCUCUUAACUAAGAUUUUCUUAUUUAUACCUGUUCUACUUUUUUUCUGUUCUGGCUCGGUUAUUCCAUCUAGCCGAGCCAUUCAUUCCUUUUUAUGAAAGAAAGAUAAGGGACUUCUUUAAAAAGAAAAAGAAGUGCCUCUAUAUUUAUAUUAUAGAUUUAUCCACUUAGAUGAAUAAAUAUUAUUAAUGAAUAUGUAUCACAAUCCAUCUCGAGGUAUUUGGAUCAAUACCUAUUCGGUGGAUCUUUUUUUCCUUUGAAGGUAAUUUUCCCAACCAAUAAGUAUUGGGCUCCCAAGUAAACAAAGCGAAGGAUCAAGUAACCAACAUGUUGCGGAGCAGCCAAGUAAACCCAUAAAUGACUCAAGUAAUCCAAGAAUCGAGGCAAACUCUGAAUACUAGAUAUGACCCAAAAAUAACAGGGGUCAAGGUCGGCCUACUGCAAACUCCAAAUAUCGUGGUCGGCGUACCUGGUCCUGAACUGUUUUUAAUCUAGAAUAAGUGGAAUCUUCUCGGCACUCUCCUUCUGCUUUAAGUCUGUUUACUUUUUACCGCCGUCUACGGAGAGACAAGAUGAGAGAGGAGAGAGGAAGCUGAAUGACAAGAGCUGAUGAAGUCCAAUCAAGAUGAGGCCUAGAAAGAGUUAAGAAAAAACACCUUCUACCUAAUUUCUGACGAAAAAGGCAGUCAUCAGUCGCCCCCUUUCCUAUUUAGCUUUGCUUGCUGCCUAUUAUGAGAAUAGGUCCCGGUUCAAGCGGCCCGCCUUUCAUCAUCAUCUAUACCAGCUGCCAUGCACGAUCCCAUAUGAACGAUUUCAUCGCCCUAAGAAGCAGAACGCGAGUUACGAAGAAACCUUUGCGAUGGUGCUGUGCAGUUGGGUUCUCUAUGGAGGAACUUCGUUGUGGGGACCAAGGGGUCUUCUUAAGAAGAGCGGAUCCAAUACACAUAAGACUUUUUUUCAGGAAAUUCCUAAUGUAACUGAUGAAUUUGGGAUGACCAGACAAUUCUUCAAUGUUGUGAAGGCCUCAAUUUGAGCAUCUGACCACUGGAAUGAUUCUUUUUUCAGACAGUCAUGAAGUGGCCUAGAAUUUAUAAAUUAAAUAUCUUGAAUAAAAAAAGGAAAUUUGCUCUGAUAUAUAGUAUAACCUGACUAUCUUGGCCUACCCAAGUGAAAUUACGAUAAAAGAAAAGUCCAGGGCAAAAAAACAAGUUAGGCUAUUCGAGAUUUGCUCUUUUUUCCAGCUUUUUGGAGUGAAAAUAAUAAACUUUUGUCUCAUACGGAAUACUAUAUGAUUUCACCGUUUGUUUCAUCAGAAACAAUCUGGGACGGAAGGAUUCGAACCUCUGAGUAACGGGACCAAAACCCGCUGAGGCAUCCUAACGAACGAACGAUUUGAACCUUGUUCCUACACGGCCUGAUCAAAUCGAUCAGGCACUUGCCAUCUAUCUUCAUUGUUCAACUCUUUGAUGAAAAUAUGAAAAAACCAAAAAAAAAGCUCUGCCCUUCCAUCGGAUGUGAACUAGCUUGCUCUGCUUGCGGAGAAAAACCAACCAAGAGGCGAUGGCCGAAGGAAGAAAUUUAGCAACACUUUUCCCGCAGGAUCUCUUGCAAGAAGAAAAUAAUCUCCAAAUUCGACGAUCGAGUUAUUCUCUAUAUCUUUAUAUAAAAUAAGAAGACAGAGAGACUCGGCUUCAAGAUGGAGAUUAAAGUUAUUUCACAGCUAAAUUCGUGUUUUCCUCGAUUUAAUAAAAUAUAGAAAGAAUUCAUGAUGAGCGGUAUAAUAAUCCGCUAUGAUGACAAUGCUGCGGUUAUAAUUGAUCAAAAAGGCAAUCCAAAAGGAACUCGAGUUUUUGGAGCGAUUGCCGAGGAAUUGAGAGGAUUGAAUUUUACCAAAAUAGUUUCAUUAGCUCCUGAAGUAUUAUAAACCAACAUUAUGAACUACUACUCGCUGAAGUACUUCGCUUUCAAGUAGACGGACUUGAUUUGAUCCCUCAUGGGAUCAAAGAGAAAAGGCUAUGUCACUCCAAAAAGGCUCCUUUUUCACUCAAUGAUUCCUUCGAAUUUGCCGACCAAAAAUUCUAUAUGUCUAUUCUAUCUAUGAUAUUUCUAUAUAGUAUAGGAAAUCCGUAAAAUCUCAGAUAUUAGUUAUUAAUCUUAGCUAUUAACUAGUUCUAAAUUUGAAGUUAUACUUAUAAAAAUAAAAAAAUACUAAAACUUCUUAAAGAUAAAGAGACUUUAGGCAAGUGGUUCUGGUAGCUCAGCUGGUUAGAGCAAAACAAGCAACGGAUUGAGCAACUAGCGCGAAAGCCGUUGCGCGUUAGCGCAUCCGUUUUCUUGCUGGAUUGCAAAUCCUUUUUUUCUUGUUUCAGUGGGAAGAGCAAGGGGCAUUGCCCUAGAAAUCCUUCAGUUGCCCGGGCCUGGUCACUGCGGCCCCCUUUUGUGAGGGGGCACUCCUUCUCCCGAAGUUACGGGGCUAUUUUGCCGAGUUCCUUAGAGAGAGUUGUCUCGCGCCCCUAGGUAUUCUCUACCUACCCACCUGUGUCAGUUUUGGGUACAGGUACCAUACGGCUCCUCCCUUCUGUACAUAAUAGUACUAAGAGAAAUAAUCUAUAAAAAGAUUUUUUUUCUUACAUCGAGAAAUAUUUGUUUUUCAAGAUAAACAAUCCUUGGGGUUCGAGAAUCCGCCUAUUUUACUAGUCUUCGGAAACGGAAAACCCUGAACCAAGAAGUCGGUGGAACCGCUGAACCACGCAAGCUGGUUAGAUGCGUGGGGCAGAGGGCUCCUAGUACCCCCAUUUUCUUGAUCCAGCCUUUUCUUCGCUUCGUUAAUGGCGAGGUUCAAAAGAGGAAAGGCUCGCGGUGGAUACCUAGGCACCCAGAGACGAGGAAGGGCGUAGCAAGCGGGAUACUUAGCACGUUAGCUAUAGCACUGCAUGGGUCAAGUCGCAUAGCACCUAGUAUCCAUCGUUUAUGGCUAGGUCAGAAUAAAUAGAAUAAUGAUCAAUGGAAAAAAGUUGGCCUCGGUCAUUAUGUAUUGAACCGAGGAAAAAGCCUCUGUAAUGGUUGGUCGGUAGUAAGACGACCUUUGCAUUUUACAUUUGGAUCUUUUUCUUAUUUCAAAAUAGUGAAAAAGUCAAAAUUUCCUUGCCAAGCUACAUGAAACAGAUUUCCGGACGUCCAUAGAAAGAUUAUUGCUAAUUGCCCAAAGUGAGAAGCAGAAAUGUUCUUCUGCUUGAUUUGAUCAAUCCAUAUGCUCCCAUCUUUAAUAAUAUUCCCGCUAAAAGCAUACAUGUACUAUAAUGUGCUUCCCCAUGGGUAUCUGGUAACAACGUAUGUAGGGGUAUAAUCGGCAAUUUGACAGCAUAAGCAAUAAGGAAGCCAAAAUAUAAAAGUAUUUUUUUUAUUUUAUUCUGGUUUUAAUCGUUUGAGGAAAACCCCCUUUGGCAUCAAUGAAACUCUGUUAUAUAGGAGUUCAAAAACCUCGCCCGCUUAAUUUCUUAAAGUACUAUGAUAAAAAGUUUAGUCUAGUUAACUGUUUAACUACUUAUAUCGAGAUUCGUCCAUUCUAUAUAUCUAGAAUAUAUAUAUUAAGGUAUAAUACAAUAAGGAAAAGGGGCAAUUCCCCCUUUUCCAUUGAAUUAGGGAAGGGGGUGAUUGAUCUUUUUUUGAAUCAGGCCUUACUGACUAAGUGGUGGUAUAAGCUUCAUUGCGGAUGAAAACAGAAAUAAUUUUGCCAGAAAUUGAUAAGGUAGCAUUUCCAUUUCUUCUUCAAAAAAAAGUGCCUUUUGAUGCAAGAAUUGCCUUUCCUUGAUAAUUUCUUGUCAAGAUGAAUAUUUUCUAAUGCCAGAGGAUACCCCUUUGAUCUGUAUCUGUUUAGUAUUUAGUUUAGUAUUUAGUAUAUAAUAGACCAAUAACAGAGCGGUAUUGCUUAGAAAAGGGAUUCAAUAUAUAAUCGAUCAAAGAAGUGGAGUUUGAAAAAGGGAACGGAAUGCUCAAACCGGAACUGCUAGAGGAAUGAAUUUUCAAUAGCAUAACUUGGGAUCCUAGAAUAUGGCGCCCUUGGGACAAUCUAUUUGAUUGCAGGGUUUUGUUCCGAAGCAAAGAUAUCCGCGGAGGCCAUGCCUCAUUUCAUAGGGAAGCCCAAAGUGGCUCUAUUUCAUUCUAUUUCACUUCCUAGCACUUCCUAUCAUUUAAUAUCCAUCCCUUUGGUCUAAUUUAGGACUUUCAAAUCUAUUUUAUUUUAUCUAAUUCUAUCUACGCCCCAGGGGCUAUGAACAAAAUAGUCCUUUCCUUUUUCAGAUCAUAGAGAAGCCGUAUGAAGCUAAGUUUUCAUGUACGGUUUUGAAAUAGCGGUGGGAACUAUGAUGUUCUUAUGGUUCUAUUUAAGAAUGGGUAUGCCAUACACCCCGCGGGGAUUGUAGUUCAAUUGGUCAGAGCACCGCCCUGUCAAGGCGGAAGCUGCGGGUUCGAGCCCCCCCUGACCAAAACCUCCCACAUUAGGAUUUCUUGUUAAUGGUUGAUCAAGCUUGAUGGAUUCCCCCUCUAAAACAAGAAGUUCUGGUCCGGGAGGUAUAAUAUCAAUCACUUGGCUAGCUAUAAUUCGAUAGACUUUCCGUAGCUCAGUACUGCUGAUCGUUGACCUGCUGAGGCAAUCGUAUUUGUUUUGGUAGAUAUGCUCUUCAAGCACUUGAACCCGCUUGGAUCACGACGAGACAGAUAGAGCAGAGGUGCUAACAAUAAUAAGAAUCUUUCAUCCUGCAAGUUACUCAUAAUUGAGAACUAGUAAUGUGGAUUUUGUUCCAUGCAAUACGGUUUUUUUUGGAUGGAAUAUUUGGCGUCAGCCUAUAGGUUUUCUGGUUUUUUUAAUUUCUUCUUUGGCAGAAUGUGAAAGAUUACCCUUUGAUUUACCAGAAGCGGAGGAAGAAUUAGUGGAUUAUUCGUGACUGCAUAUUUGCAAUACAGGCGUGGGGAUCAGUUGGAUCUUUGAUUGAGUCAUUUUUUUGAUUGACCUCCUCCAGACCAGAGAAAGAAAGGAGCUUCAGAACUCUUGUAUUCCACCGAAUAAGAAUAAGAAUAAGAAUAAGAGCAAGAAGGGGCUUUGUGAUAAUUGUGCUUGGGUGGAUGUUUAUGGUCCAACCAAAUUUAAGAGCUAUGUUUCAAUCUUCGCCUUGGAAUAAAAAGAAUUGAUAUUGGCGCGGUCUAACCUAUUAUGGGGAAUCGGUCCUUCACUUGUCCUAUCAUACCUUUUUCACGAGCCGGGCUUUGGAGAUGAGGCCUUCUGGCGAAGCCAAGUCAAUUUCGGGCCAGCAAACCCUGCAACUGAGGAACGCGAAAUGACUUUAGGUUUUGUUGAUUUAUUGCGCGAUGAUUUUAUUGAAAAAGAUCGUGCUCGUGGUAUCUUUUUCACUCAUUUUUAAAAUCUGGUAAAAAAUCUUCAACCUAACUCAACACAACUAUAUUUCGACUGCUGCGCAAAAAUGGGAUAUGCAUUUGAAAUAGAUGUCCGAGUUAUUAAGUAUAUCAUGAUCGAUACAGAAAUCGAUCGAGUUAUUUGUUCCUUUACCCAAGAAAAAGUAUUUCUAUUUUCCCAAUUUUAUUUUUUCAUUUAUUUGUUUCCCCCCAUUUGAAACAGGGCUCAAGUCGCUUCCUAAGAUGCUAAGUAGCAGGAGCAACUUUUAAUUUGUUAUGAGCCCAAACGAUAGAUUCAAUGAGUUCUUGCCAAUAACCACGGCCGCUGAAUAAAAAUUAUGAUGAGCAUCUAUUGGAGUCGAUCAUUUCCAAGAUCUAAUUCUAGUUUCUUAUUAUGUGGUGGAAACGCCUCACAAUCUUCGGUUUUACGCUUACGCUUAAGGGAAGAAAUGUUCUAGGCCAGACCAUCCUACAAAAACGAAAUGGUCCCUUCGUAACCAGUCAUCCAUAGUAUCAAAUAGAUCAUUUUCUUUCCCGGCAAUCUCCGCUUAUUAGGGUGGCCUCUAACAGGUCGGGAGAGUACUAAAAAUCUGGCUCAUACGCCUCGCAAGAUUGAACAUCUGCGAAAUGCAGAUCAAAUCACGUCUUAUAAUAAGAAGAAAUCUUUCUCGGUAUCAAUCCCCUUGCCUAAUCAUAUUCAAAAUCUGAGUUUGAUCCUGGCUCAGAAGGAACGCUAGCUAUAUGCUUAACACAUGCAAGUCGAACGUUGUUGUCGAAGUGCAAUCGUAGAACAGAAUGUGAUACGAUGAGAUAGAAUGCAAUAGAAAUAGAAACAAGGAUAGCGAAGGAGUACGCAAGAAAGGCAAAAGCACUACGAAUUAUUGAUUUAGGAAUGGGAAUGGGCUAGAACCCUGGGUUCUUUUUUGUAUCUUCAUCCAUAGAUCCUUUACUCAUAUAUUCAAUGUAGAAGAAUUUAAAUUUGAGAAUCGAAGGUUCAUAAUAUAAAAAUAUAAAACUUCCCGGCUUUUACCCAUUUUAAAUUUUUUUUGGAAGCCCGAUAAGCAUGUCUUGGGUUGGUACGCAAAUAGGAUCCCCAAUAGCGGGAGAUAAGAGAUUCAUAUGAGAAAACAUAAGUAAACGGGCUUCUGCCUGAGCUUCCAAGGAUAAAGGUAGAUGAAAGAGGCCGCUCUCGUGCAAGACUUCUUUAUUCUCCUGAUUUCCCUCCUCCAGUUGGAUUGACACGAAAGUCCAGUGAUAACGUUGAAGUACUUUAAAGAGUCCCUUUCAGCCCCCGCUUUAUCAUAGGAAGAAGAAGAGUAAUCUAGUUUAGGCGUCAGAAGAAUGGAAGGACAACGAGAAGAUGGUUCGGUUGCUCCUGCUGGAAUAUUCCAUUUAAGAAACAGGAAAGGGUUGAUAAAUGAUCAAGAAAAAACUUUUCUAUUUUUCAUUCGAUUUGCAUUAUCCGUAGGACACCUUAUAUGUAUCAAAAUUGAUAUCGAUUUCUAGUCGCGUAGCUUCAUAAUAAAUUUGCAAAGCUUCCGCAUAAUGUCCUUCGGAUUGAGCCAACAUCCGUUACGGUCGUUCAUUCUAUUCAAAAAAUCUCCGUUCCAUUAUCAGCUCACUCUUCAUCAAUCCCUAUGGAUCGAUCUAGCAAUCAUGGAAUCUAUAUUCUGUUUACUGAAUCACAUGAAAUUCUAGGGAUCUAUGAGAUCAAGUAUGGAAUUCUGUUUACUCACUUUAAAUUGAGUAUCCGUUUCCCUCCUCUUCCCGCUAGGCAACCAUGUCAUCCAUGAACAGGCUCCGUAAGAUCCCAUAGAGUAGAAAUGGAAUAAGUCAUGUGACAUGAUCCAGUUCUCUAUUUAUUACAGGCACAAUGACGCAAUUAUCAGGGGCACGCUCUACCACUGAGCUAAUAGCCCGUCGCGCGGGCCUCAUUUUCGAUUUCAGGACUUUUAGCCCCGGUUAGUGAAGGACCAGAGAACAAAAAAGAGUUGUUUUGGUGAACAUCAAAGAAAAAACUUGCUCUUCUUCCAUAAAAAAUUCUUCUAAAAACGCGGGGAUUGUAGUUCAAUUGGUCAGAGCACCGCCCUGUCAAGGCGGAAGCUGCGGGUUCGAGCCCCGUCAGUCCCGAACUAGGGUUCAAUGAAUGGAGAAAUUUAUAUUUCCUUUUUCCUGACGAUCUACGAUCACAGAACGCAAUAAUAUGAAUGUCUCUCACGAGCCCCAAAGAGGCAAUCAAGUAUGCCUGCUUUGUUGGCACAGGGAAAGGUAGAACGACCUUCCACCAUGUCAACCGCUCACUAGACUUCUUGUUGCAGUGAAGUUGCUUCAUCACCCGGCUCAACAUCAGCCUCUUCCUUUGCUCCCCAUUUUUAGACUUCUACAAGUCGACCUUCUUACGAUGGAAAUCACGAAAAAGAAUCCUGAAGGAGGAAAUAGUUCACUUGUUGGGCACCUGGGCUCCCUAUUUGUAAAUUCACUUACGUGACGAGCAAUUAACAAGGCGCGCUGCUCUUAUAACAAAGGAAUUCAUAUUUACAAUGAAAAUUUGACCGGAUUUUUUUAUGUGUGCAAUUGGGUCGUUGCGAUUACGGGUUGGUUGUCUAAUUGUCCAGGCGGUAAUGAUAGUAUCUUGUACCUGAACCGGUGGCUCACUUUUUCUAAGUAAUGGGGAAGAGGACUGAAACAUGCCACUGAAAGACUCUACUGAGACAAAAAGAUGGGCUGUCAAAAAGGUAGAGGAGGUAGGAUGGGCAGUUGGUCAGAUCUAGUAUGGAUCGUACUCGUCUUUGAGCCUCUAAAAAGAAGGGCAUAGUAUCCCAGCCACCUAGACCACCUAAAAGGAAGGAAUUUUGAUUUACCUAUUCAAAGCAAUUUACGCGAGGGACUUUCUUUGACAGAAUAUAUAAUUUCCUGCUAUGGAGCCCACAGCGGGUUUUCCAACAGGCCGUACAAGGAGCUCUAGGAACUCUGAAUAGUUGUUUGAAUACCGAGUUACAUUUCCGUACGAUUCCUGAAGUCCUCCCUCCCUUUCUUUCGGAGGUGCUGACCCGUCUGUUUGUUUUGUUUUGAAUUGACAUAGAGAAAGAUUUCUCGCAUUCAAUUGUAGCCAAUAUUUUAUUGUGAAUAAUUCCGACAACCUCAGGAGAAAAAAAGACAUUUACAUAUUAUAGAGAUGGUGCGAUUUGACUCUUUUUUUUUGCUUUUUUAGCCCUACCUACACCUCAGUCUUACGAAAAAGAGAAGGGAUAUUCUUGAUCGAUUUGGUCGGAUAUGUAGAAAUCUUUUUCAUUAUCUUUUUUUUUGAAGAAGAAAUGGAAAUGCUACCUUAUCAAUUUUUAUUAUGCCACUGAAGGGGGGGGGGAGAUAAUACCGAUUUAAGAGUAGUUCACUACUGCAAUAAAAAAAAUUGUAAUUCGCUAUUUAAUCACGAAACACGCCACUUCUAAUGUAAGGAUUGCUAAAAGGAAAAUUUGAGAAAAAGAACCCAUUGUAUGGGGAAUACUUCAAGAAGUUAUGCAGGGACAUCCUGUAUUGUUAAAUAAAGCACCUACCCUGAAUAGAUUAGGCAUAUAGGUCUUUCAACCCACUUUAGUAGAGGGGCGUACUAUUUCUUUACACCCAUUAGUCUUUUUUCAACCUACUCAAGUCCAAACCGUUGGGGCCCCUUAGAGUUUCUAACCAUGGAGCACGAUGAUAUGACUGAUAAUCAGAAGCGAGAGGCUCUGCUCUCGAAACUUGACCUCCUCGAUUCGAUCGAUGGGAGAAAUAAAAGGUUACGAGGCGAUAUUCCAUAAUUAACAUAGUUCGGUUAGAGUGGAUUUGAAAAGCUACAGCAGAUUGAUAAGUUGCUAAUUUAGCUAAGUCAACUCCACUACGGAAUCUAGCUCUCCAUAAGAGGGUAUUCCCAAUGAGACAAGUAGUUUAUCGAAGGGACCCUCUGUCUGAAGAUUGUAGUCCGGAUUUCUCGGAAUAGAAUAAUUGAAUGAGUGCGGGGGUCGAUGAAGCAGAAGCGAGAAUGUCGGCUUGAGUAACGAAAACAUUGGUGAGAAUCCAAUGCCCCGAAAACCCAAGGUUUCCUCCUCAAGGUUCGUCCACGGAGGCGAGGUUCAAAAGAGGAAAGGCUUGCGGUGGAUACCUAGGCACCCAGAGAUGAGGAAGGGCGUAGCAAGCGACGAAAUGCUUCGGGGAGUUGAAAAUAAGCAUAGAUCCGGAGAUUCCCAAAUAGGUCAACCUUUUAAACUACCUGCUGAAUCCAUGAGCAGGCAAGAGACAACCUGACCUUCGUACUUCGAUCGAGAUAUUGGACAUAGAAUGCCACUCUUUAAAGAAAUCAAUCAGCUCCUAAUUAGGUCCCCCAAGGCGAGCGAAGUGACGUUUUUAUUUCUCUUCCUCUGGUUAGAAAAAAAAAGAUUUCUAGAAAUAUUCUCUGAUGAGCGGACGGGAAAACCCUCUUUGGAUUUUCCCAAGAUCUUUGGAAUUCAUUUAUUUCUUGAGUUGUUUUUCACAUUCUUUCGAUAGGUAAUUGCAGAUAUUGACAAAGAUGGUGUACAUGAAAUGGUGAUUGCACUUUGACUCAAAAGCACAUUAUCCGCAACAUGGAAUGAAAGAGAAAUUCAAAUUAUGUAAGGUUUUUAAAAAAGUCCUGUGACUCAUGUGUGGUAUUUGAAAGGUCUUCCUAGUUAUAUCGCGAAUCUUUUAGAUAAACCUCUUAAGAAGACGGAGUGGUUGCACGUGUAAGUACAUCAUGUUACAUAUCUAUUUUAAGCUAAGCUAAAUGCCUAAACUAAACAAUUUUCUAUUAAGCACAGCAUCUCAUUGAGCUUCUCUUUUGUGCCUGCUUUCUUCUUGAUUUAUUGCAGCAGCUAGUCUCCCUUUUCCAAAUUCGAUUAAAAGCAUUACAAAAGGCUCAUUCAUCGAAAAUCAAAAUCAUACAGACAGGAAAAGAAAAACGAAUUUCUUGCCCGAACUUAUGCGAAGUAAAAAUUUAUCGAAUUCGAUCAGCACUAUAAAAAAACCUAAGUAUUUUAUUGAUCAGGCGGCACCCUGUCUACGGUUCCCUUGCGUGUGCUCGGGAUAGGUGUUUUGUAUAAAUGUUUUGCCAUAUUAUUAAGUAUUCUCCUUUAGUUUUUUUCUCUUCUGUGGAGCCGAGUUCGCCGACUGAGACUACUUGAAAAGCAUUUUCGACCAACCGAUCUCACGAGCUUCCAAAAAAUUUCUUUCCGAGUUAAUUUUCUCAGUUUUAUUACAACUUAUUAAGCACGAGAGUCAUAAGAUCCUGGUUAUAGAAGAAGAGUAGGCGAUAACUCUUAUUGUGAAAAGAGCUAUUUACUCUAUAAAUAAUGGGAAAAUUUGGAUUCAAUUGUCAACUGGUCCUAUCGAAAGUAGGAUUGAAAACUCCAUUUUCCGAGAUACUAUUACUCGACCAGGAAUCACCAACCACUAUAGUUAGAUUUAUUCGAUUUCUUCCUUUCAUUAAGGUACGAGGGCUUCUUAUUCCACAAGAACGAAAGCACCUUUUCAUUCUUUCAUAUACUAGGGGGAAGCUAUUCAGGAACAGCUGGAACGGUUUUCUCUUCAGUAACAAAUAAAUUUUGCAUUCUGUGAGAUUCGUUACCUACCAAAGAAAGGUGCAAAUAAGCCAUUUUAUUCGAUUUUGCCUUUGCUGAUCCUGCUCAUGCUUUUUUUCUCCUUCUUUUUCUUCUUUAACCAUAAAUCCAAAAAAUUUCUACCUCCUUUCUUUUUCAUGUAUUUUUCUCAUCAGGAAAAAUACAAAAUUAUGUUAGUUAUUUUGAAGUUAUUCUUGCUCCUUUUUACCAGAAUUGAAUUUUUUUAAAGAUUACUUCCGGAUUUGGGCGGGACAAAGGGUCGUGAUCUCGCGAGGGUGAGCUAACUCCAAAAACCCGUCCUCAGUUCGGAUUGCAGGCUGCAACUCGCCUGCAUGAAGCAGGAAUCGCUAGUAACAUCGGCUCUUCCGAGAUCUUAUGUAAGGAAUACUCGAAAAAGUAGAGCAAAAAGAUCUACAAAACUCUACAAGAAAUGUCUUUCCCGUAGAAGACUCUAUAUCUUCGAGCUUUUAUUCCUCAAUCCACUUAUUCGUUCCCUUCUUUCAUAUACCUCCCCACCAAUAGAUAGAGACAAAUGGGAAUAACUGAACCACGUCUACAAAAUGCCAGUACCAUGCAGCUGCUUCCUUCGCUUUGCUAUCUAAUAACUUUUUCUACCCCUCUUCCCUUUUUCUUUGUAUCAACUAUAAACCACUGGAUUGUCUUCAAUUGGAUGGGGGAAUCCAAUUGACAGCCUCCAAAUGUGCAAAUGUUGUGGCAGGGGCAGGGUCGGUCAAAUCGUCUACAGGUACAUAAACUGCUUGAAUCGAAGUUAUAAAUCCCUUUUUAGUAGAAGCAAUUCUUUCUUGCAAAGAACCCAUUUCUGUCAUGCUCAAUUAUCUCUUAACCUAGCUAUGCUAGGCUCUACAACCAUUGUUGUAGCUCAUCAUAUGUAUUCUAUGCCUCCCUAUCAAUACCUAGCUACUGACUAUGGUGCACAACUUUCCUUGUUCACACACCACAUGUGGAUUGGCGGAUUUCUAAUAGUCGGUUAUCAGUGGGAUCAGGGAUACUUUCAGCAAGAAAUAUAUCGAAGAGUUAGCAAUGGUUUAGCUGAAAAAAUCAUAAUUUUGGAUUCUAUUCAAAAAAGAUUGAUUUUAUUACGACAUGCUAUUUUUUCCAUUCAUUACCUUUGAGGAUCAGUCGUUUACUUUUUUUUUGCAAAGUUUCUGUAAAUUUGAAGUUGAACUUACUUAAACAAGCCAGACAUUGUGAUCGUCCUUGAUCAGCAAAAAGAGUAUAUAGCUCUUCGGGAAUGUGCCAUUUUGGGGAUUCCUACUAUUUCUUUAGAGGCUCAAAGACGAGUUCUUUGAAGGAAGCAAAAGAACCCAUGUGUCUCGGAUGAAGUCUACCCUCCUUUUGUGUCGGCAUUUACUUAUUAUGCUCUCUUCUAAUAGUGGUCCCUUGGUAUUCAGGUUGUAAAAUCCUGAUAGGAAAGUCGACUGUUAUACCUUGUUCUCGAAAAAGGGGUAAUUUUUUCUGGGCCUGUAUUCUUUUUCUAGGUUCACUACGAUUCUAUGAAAGAAUGAAGAGACUUUAUCACAACUCCUAAAUUGAUUUUUGAUCGACCUAUUUAAUCUGAUUCUCGCUAGAAUUAUCUUAUUAUUGUUAGCACCUCUGCUCUACCUUUUCAGGCUAGCUUCCCAUCGCUCGAAGUACACUUCCGCCCCGGCAUAGCGCUUCGCUUCCGGUUCUUCGGAGGAAUCAACUGACUUCUCCCUUCUUCAUUGAUCCGGGGGAACUUGCGAUAUUGAGGGGAUAAUACCAACUCAUCCAUUCAUCUUUCCCGAUCUAGUGCCAUCGUUCUUCAAGGUGCCGGAAGGUUUGAAGCCCAUCUAAAGUAGCUUGAAAUUCUUUCCUCUACAAUCCAGAGCAGUCCGAACAUGUACCGCGAUCUGGACGGACAAAGUGCCGUACACUUGAGAUGUUUGGUCAAGUCCUAUAACGAGCGAAACCCUUGUUUUGUGUUGCUGGGAAGAAUAUCUUAAGUAGUUGAAUCCGCUCCGCUAGGUUAAAUUGUAUGAUCUGAAUGUAGGAGGACUGCUGCUGGUGACACAAUUUCUUUUGGGUCUGAAGAAUGAACUCAGAGCUGCAGUGGAAGUGCAAGUGCACCCUAAUAUAGCUGGCUCUUUGUGGUAUUUGAAUAUUCUCCAAGAAUUCUGGUGCAUUUACUGUUAACAAAUAGAAAUAGGUAUAGUAUAGGAAAUCCGUAAAAUCUCAGAUAUUAGUUAUUAAUCUUAGCUAUUAACUAGUUCUAAAUUUGAAGUUAUACUUAUAAAAAAUAAAAAAAUACUAAAACUUCUUAAAGAUAAAUUGUGUCUAAAUAAUUAUACAACUAGGAAUACUAAUAAUCUUCUCCUAUCCUACUUUUUGAUUCAUUUAGUUCUUCAAUUAACUCAAAGUGCUUGAUCGGUAACUAAUAGUACUACGAACUAAUACUAAUAUAUAGAAAUAGAUAUCUAGAAAUAGAAAUGAACUAAUAUAUAUAUAAUCGAAAUUGAAAAGAACUUUUUUUAUUAAAUGAAAUAGUUCGUUUUCUCGCUCUUAACUCGAAAGUACUAACUAAAUAGGGGUACGGAGAAAUAAACAAGUGUGGGGGAGAAGCAGCCGAGCUCAUUCCCUUCCAUUUCUCAAUUAUGAGUAACUUGCAGGGUGAAAGAUUCUUAUUAUUGUUAGCACCUCUGCUCUACCUUUUCAGACAUCAAAUAGCUUCGAUUUGCAUUAUCCGUAGGACACCUUAUAUGUAUUAAAAUCGAUAUCAAAAUCAAAAAGAUGAAAGAUGUACAAUCCAAUUUCUCGAUUCAAUAGAAGCAGCGGGACUACCAGGGUAAAGCCCGUCCCCGCUAGCUCAUCCAAAAGAUCAUCAAUGACUCUAUCGGGUAUUUCUUUUUUACGGUUUGCGCAUUGAGUUGCCUAUAAUACAUAGGCCCCACGAACCUUCUUUCUUCUUGUAAAGAAGAGCCGGUGAGGCAUGAACUAGGUUGUAGAGUACCAUUCUAGAGUAACUCCUUGAUUAUGGCUUCAAUUUCAUCCGAUUUUUUGAGCAACUAGCGCGAAAGCCGUUGCACGUUAGCGCUUUCUUGCUUGAUUUUUGAUUGGAUAUCCCGCAUAAGGAAUCAAAGGAAGACGCGAAGUUUUAUUCCAGGGAAUCCCCAACGAAAAAUGCACACUUGGACAAUUUAUUUGUGAAAAUGUAUGUCUAUUUAAAUCGCUCAUAAAAAAUCCGGUCAAAUUUUCAUUGUAUUGAUUUACAGAUCAAGAGAGAUCAUGGAUAUCAGAUAGAACUCAGAAAGAACUAUCAAGAUGGAAGUUAUCCUAUAGAUGUUGUAUCCAUGCCUGUUCGAAAUGUGAAUCACCCUAAUAGUGCUAUACAAAAAAACAAAAGCAAAUCUUCUGAGGCAAAAUAGACAGUAAAAGCCAAAAUAAACUAAAUAUAUAUAGCCUGAAUGAUCCUAAAAAUCCCUCGAAGGCAAAACCGUGCAUGAGACUUUCAUCUUGCACGGCUCCUAAGUGAUAAAAGAAAGAAGAACUCGUCUUCUCUCUAAUGGAUAGGACAGAGGUCUUCUAAACCUUUGGUAUAGGUUCAAAUCCUAUUGGACGCAAUCUUACGUUUUCUUUCAAGCCUUUCAACCAAUCAAUGCGACCUCGUAGGGCAGCUUUUGCUAAAACUCGAGCAACAGACCAGUACUAUCCAUCAAUGCCACAAAGACCAUAGACGACCUCUAUUUCGUGGAAGAACUCUGACUAUUUUUGGAAAUAGUAUUUUUUUUUUGCAGCUUAGCUCAAUUCAUGCAUGGUUCCCGAUAAUCUGCUUGGUUGCUAAUUGGUUUAUAUGGAUUCUUCGCGGCUGAGUCCAAAAAUAGAAAUAGUAUUGCCAGAAAUUGAUAAGGUAGCAUUUCCAUUUCUUCUUCAAAAAAAAGUGUCAAGUAUCUUGGGAUUUUUUAGGUGUGAAGUGAAGUUCACAAGAAGUCGACUAGGCGGACUGGUCCGAGUGAAGAGAAAAAAAAGCCAUACGAAACUCAAAAUAUUUUCCAGAGAUAUUCAUUUUCCUGAAGAGGCGGAUAAGAUAUUAGGAAUUAUUUAUAAAUAGGUAUUCCGUUUCAUCUCAGAAAAGAACCUAAAAAUAUUCCUUGACAAAUUCUAUUUGUUCAAUAGACCUUUGUCAAUGGAAAUACAAUGAUAAGAAAACAAAUUAGAUAGAAAAAGUAAAUAAAAUAGGGGCAUUUAUUACUUGGACCAUAUUCGCAAUUUAUUUACAUAGUAGAACAAAUCCAAAUUGGAAGGGUACGAAUUCUGAACCAAAACCCGCUGCCUUACCACUUGGCCACGCCCCAUUUCAGGUUUUAUGCGACACUAAUAAACACUAGUAUGUUUAUUUGUUAUUCGUCAAUACCAUUUCAAUUACAUAAAAAAGGAGGGAUAUUCUCUUGCUAGAAUUUGGGAAGCUGCAUCUGUUGAUGAGUGGUUAUACAAUGGUGGUCCUUAUGAGCUAAUUGUUCUACACUUCUUACUUGGUGUAGCUUGUUAUAUGGGUCGUGAGUGAAACAAAACAGCUUAUAAAUUUGUAGUAAAAAGAAAAAAAAUCUCAUUUCCAAUCAAAACAAAAAAUACUGAGUCUCUUAAAUAAGACAUUCUAAAACUUAGGUAAUUUAUAGUCAUUAGGAUUUUAGUUCUAAUCCUCGUGUCACCAGUUCAAAUCUGGUUCCUGGCAUAGAAAAAACAAUCUGCCGAAUUCCCCCAGAACUACGUUUUCUUUCAAGCCUUUCAACCAAUCAAUGCGACCUCACCCCGCGGAGAACUCUGGUUGCGCUUUGGUUGGCUUUCUCUUUUUUUCGAAGGUAAUCAAAAAAGAGAGAAGACGAGUUCGAAUCCCUCUCUUUCCGUUUUUAUUAAUUCAUCAACGUUAAGGAUCACUUCGAUCUCCCCCCCAGAUGAACCAUAUAGCCAAGAGAAACCAUGAACCAGAAUAGAAGAGCUUGCCCCACCCAUGAGUAAGUAUUUCAUAGUAGCCUCUUUUUAUUCACUUUAUUACUUCUAUUCUAGACCCUAUCCCUAUGGUUUAUUCUUAUGAAAUAUCAUAUAAAAUAGAAGUUAUCUCUUUAGGAUCCACCCCAGCGUCUAGGAAUUGGUUAAUUGGUAAAAAUACAUGAAUUUGGUGCCCCGCCCAAGAAAGAGACCCAAGUCCUAAUAAUCCCGCUAAGUGGUGAUUCAACAUGGAAUCUCUUCUCACCCCCAUAUCCAAAUAAAAAAGCGGUUUAAGUAAUAAAUUUGAAUUAAAGAGAAGAAUCAACGAAUUCAUGAUUAAACCCCUAUUGCAUUUAUUUUUCUCAUUGCCGGUCACAUGUAUCAAACUAACUUCGGAAUUGGGCACAGUAUUAAAGAUCUUUUAGAAGCGCAUACUCCUCUGGGGGGUCGAUUAGGGCGUGGGCAUAAGGGCCUGCAGGAAAGCAACUUGAUAUUGCGAUCUAGAUCCAGCAAGAAGUAACGUUGCACUAUGACUCAAUCCAGUUGGAAGAAUAAGCUUAUAUACCCAAUCCCUUAUUUUUUUAUCUUCCUGUAGACCUUCCGAAUAAUUUUUUGGUUGUGCGAACCAAAAGGAAUGGUUUUUUUGGGUUGUACCAAGUCUGAAACCGAGUGGAUUUAUUUUUUGCUGGAAGGUCAAGGAAGUUGGUGAACUGAUGACUGGGAAAAUCUAGAAAUAUACAUACCCAGUUAAGGUGGGAUAUGAUUGCAUCGCGGUGUCUAAGGACGCGAUCUAAUAGAUCGUUGUAUCGAAUCGAGCGGGCAAGGGAUCGCAAACAUCUUUUCUUUUCAGAGAAAAGGUUUUCAAAAGAUAUUGCCAAUUCGGCAGUUCGAUCUAUGAUUUCACAUUCAUGGACGUUGAUAAGAUCCUUCCAUUUAGUAGCACCUUAGGAUGGCAUAGCCUUAACAUUAAUGGCGAGGUUCAAAAGAGGAAAGGCUUGCGGCGGAUACCUAGGCACCCAGAGACGAGGAAGGGCGUAGCAAGCGACGAAAUGCUUCGGGGAGUUGAAAAUAAGCAUAGAUCCGGAGAUUCCCAAAUAGGUUC
This 22469-nucleotide long non-coding RNA is filed under the name Triticum aestivum (bread wheat). RNAcentral describes it as "long non-coding RNA (TAES_LNC012435)". The stretch from base 16649 to 16743 matches the Rfam family "Bacterial small subunit ribosomal RNA", at positions 1231 to 1325 of the family's 1533-position model. The record is from RNAcentral. Lineage: Eukaryota; Viridiplantae; Streptophyta; Magnoliopsida; Poales; Poaceae.